RNAcentral lists this ribosomal RNA (252 nucleotides) under uncultured bacterium. RNAcentral's name for it is "partial 16S ribosomal RNA". It matches the Rfam family "Bacterial small subunit ribosomal RNA", at positions 524 to 776 of the family's 1533-position model. The record is from RNAcentral.
UACGUAGGUGGCAAGCGUUGUCCGGAUUUAUUGGGCGUAAAGCGCGCGCAGGCGGCUAUGUAAGUCUGAUGUUAAAGCCCGAGGCUCAACCUCGGUUCGCAUUGGAAACUGUGUAGCUUGAGUGCAGAAGAGGAAAGCGGUAUUCCACGUGUAGCGGUGAAAUGCGUAGAGAUGUGGAGGAACACCGAUGGCGAAGGCAGCCCCCUGGGCUGAGAUUGACGCUCAGGCACGAAAGCGUGGGGAGCAAACAGG